AGACCAGUAAAGACCAGUUCCCCUCAGACAGACCAGACAGUAAAGACCAGUACCCCUCAGACAGACCAGACAGUAAAGACCAGUACCCCUCAGACAGACCAGACAGUAAAGACCAGUUCCCCUCAGACAGUAAAGACCAGUACCCCUCAGACAGACCAGACAGUAAAGACCAGUACCCCUCAGACAGACCAGACAGUAAAGACCAGUUCCCCACAGACAGUAAAGACCAGUACCCCUCAGACAGACCAGCCAGUAAAGACCAGUACCCCUCAGACAGUAAAGACCAGUACCCCUCAGACAGACCAGACAGUAAAGACCAGUACCCCUCAGACAGUAAAGACCAGUACCCCUCAGACAGUAAAGACCAGUACCCCUCAGACAGACCAGACAGUAAAGACCAGUACCCCUCAGACAGUAAAGACCAGUACCCCUCAGACAGACCAGACAGUAAAGACCAGUACCCCUCAGACAGACCAGACAGUAAAGACCAGUUCCCCACAGACAGUAAAGACCAGUACCCCUCAGACAGACCAGACAGUAAAGACCAGUACCCCUCAGACAGUAAAGACCAGUACCCCUCAGACAGACCAGACAGUAAAGACCAGUACCCCUCAGACAGUAAAGACCAGUACCCCUCAGACAGUAAAGACCAGUACCCCUCAGACAGACCAGACAGUAAAGACCAGUACCCCUCAGACAGACCAGACAGUAAAGACCAGUUCCCCACAGACAGUAAAGACCAGUACCCCUCAGACAGACCAGACAGUAAAGACCAGUACCCCUCAGACAGUAAAGACCAGUACCCCUCAGACAGACCAGACAGUAAAGACCAGUACCCCUCAGACAGUAAAGACCAGUACCCCUCAGACAGUAAAGACCAGUACCCGUCAGACAGACCAGACAGUAAAGACCAGUACCCCUCAGACAGACCCGACAGUAAAGACCAGUACCCCUCAGACAGACCAGACAGUAAAGACCAGUACCCCUCAGACAGACCAGACAGUAAAGACCAGUACCCCUGAGACAGACCAGACAGUAAAGACCAGUACCCCUCAGACAGUAAAGACCAGUACCCCUCAGACAGUAAAGACCAGUACCCCUCAGACAGACCAGACAGUAAAGACCAGUACCCCUCAGACAGACCAGACAGUAAAGACCAGUACCCGUCAGACAGACCAGACAGUAAAGACCAGUACCCCUCAGACAGACCAGACAGUAAAGACCAGUACCCCUCAGACAGACCAGACCAGACAGUAA
RNAcentral lists this long non-coding RNA (1257 nucleotides) under Oncorhynchus mykiss (rainbow trout). RNAcentral describes it as "lncRNA (ENSOMYG00000073490.1)". The record is from RNAcentral. Lineage: Eukaryota; Metazoa; Chordata; Actinopteri; Salmoniformes; Salmonidae.